GGCCAGGUAGCCAAAUGGGAAGGCGGAAGUCUGCAAAACUUCUAUGAAUGGGUUCGAUUCCCAUCCUGGCCU
This 72-nucleotide transfer RNA is filed under the name bacterium. Its description in RNAcentral is "tRNA-Cys". It matches the Rfam family "tRNA". Rfam says of the family: Transfer RNA (tRNA) molecules are approximately 80 nucleotides in length. The record is from RNAcentral.